UGCCCACAAAGGGGAGGAGCAGGCGGAUGAACAGCCAGAGCUGCAAUGGUGGAUCCUCCCCCAGGGCUGCAUGGGACGACAGAUAGAUGAGGCUCUAGGAGGACAGGCACAAAUGCUACCCGAAUGCAAACCACUCCCGAGAUCUGUAAAAGGACUGGCCCCGGACAGGAAGCACACUUUAAACUAGAGGCGGGUAAGAAUCCUGGGCCAAUCAAGGCUUCUGGGCGGAACUGCCAUUCAGACAAUGAGGCGUGGUCUUCCAGUUGCCUGCUGGAAGUUUGUUUUUGCGCUGCAGGAUGGAACUAUUCUCUGUAUCCUGCUUUGAGCACUGCUAUUGGGUGCUGUGAGGGGACCUCAAGUAAGCUCCAUUUUUGAAACAUGAGUCAGAGCCCCGGUGAAGAUUCUGUGAGAGUUCAUUGUAUUGAAUUUAUGAUGAUGAAGAUUGAGUUGCAUUUUGCGGAAAAGAGAUGUUGAGAUACCUAAGGCAUUGAGAAAUCUGUCAUGCAGACAUGCACACAGGGAGAGGGAGUACCCAAAAUGAUGAGAAGUUACAGGAAUUGGACCAUCUAAGCCCUUAGAAAGUGAAGUCCACUGUGUCUCAAACAAAGGUUAUUAGCUUAUGUGCUUGGAAUGUAAGUUUUGUACAUGCAAGCGUAUGCUGUUGUGCAGAUCUUCAUCCA
Mus musculus (house mouse) is the source of this 680-nucleotide long non-coding RNA. RefSeq annotates it as predicted gene, 57809. NCBI's taxonomy places the organism in Eukaryota, Metazoa, Chordata, Mammalia, Rodentia, Muridae. The transcript is spliced from 3 exons. The record is from RefSeq and is a predicted model, not a curated record.